RNAcentral lists this ribosomal RNA (490 nucleotides) under uncultured bacterium. RNAcentral describes it as "bacterial SSU rRNA". It matches the Rfam family "Bacterial small subunit ribosomal RNA", at positions 28 to 526 of the family's 1533-position model. The record is from RNAcentral.
GAUGAACGCUGGCGGCGUGCCUAACACAUGCAAGUCGAGCGGAAAUUAGUGGGUGCUUGCACCUGCUAAUUUUAGCGGCGGACGGGUGAGUAACGCGUGGGCAACCUGCCCUGUACACAGGAAUAACAAUGAGAAAUCAUUGCUAAUGCCUGAUAAGCUUACAUUAUCGCAUGAUAAAGUAAGAAAAGAUUUAUCGGUACAGGAGGGGCCCGCGACUGAUUAGCUAGUUGGUGGGGUAAAGGCUCACCAAGGCGACGAUCAGUAGCCGACCUGAGAGGGUGAUCGGCCACAUUGGGACUGAGACACGGCCCAAACUCCUACGGGAGGCAGCAGUGGGGAAUAUUGCACAAUGGGGGAAACCCUGAUGCAGCAACGCCGCGUGAAGGAUGAAGGUUUUCGGAUCGUAAACUUCUAUCAACGGGGAAGAAAAAAAUGACGGUACCCGAAUAAGAAGCCCCGGCUAACUACGUGCCAGCAGCCGCCGUAACAC